This 450-nucleotide ribosomal RNA is filed under the name Pseudomonas sp. SA032. RNAcentral's name for it is "bacterial SSU rRNA". It matches the Rfam family "Bacterial small subunit ribosomal RNA", at positions 291 to 733 of the family's 1533-position model. Lineage: Bacteria; Pseudomonadati; Pseudomonadota; Gammaproteobacteria; Pseudomonadales; Pseudomonadaceae. The record is from RNAcentral.
UCUGAGAGGAUGAUCAGUCACACUGGAACUGAGACACGGUCCAGACUCCUACGGGAGGCAGCAGUGGGGAAUAUUGGACAAUGGGCGAAAGCCUGAUCCAGCCAUGCCGCGUGUGUGAAGAAGGUCUUCGGAUUGUAAAGCACUUUAAGUUGGGAGGAAGGGCAUUAACCUAAUACGUUAGUGUUUUGACGUUACCGACAGAAUAAGCACCGGCUAACUCUGUGCCAGCAGCCGCGGUAAUACAGAGGGUGCAAGCGUUAAUCGGAAUUACUGGGCGUAAAGCGCGCGUAGGUGGUUUGUUAAGUUGGAUGUGAAAUCCCCGGGCUCAACCUGGGAACUGCAUUCAAAACUGACAAGCUAGAGUAUGGUAGAGGGUGGUGGAAUUUCCUGUGUAGCGGUGAAAUGCGUAGAUAUAGGAAGGAACACCAGUGGCGAAGGCGACCACCUGGA